This 349-nucleotide unclassified non-coding RNA is filed under the name soil metagenome. Its description in RNAcentral is "partial contains 5.8S ribosomal RNA, internal transcribed spacer 2, and large subunit ribosomal RNA". The stretch from base 1 to 120 matches the Rfam family "5.8S ribosomal RNA", at positions 35 to 154 of the family's 154-position model. The record is from RNAcentral.
GAUGAAGAACGUAGCGAACUGCGAUAAGUAAUGUGAAUUGCAGAAUUCAGUGAAUCAUCGAGUCUUUGAACGCACAUUGCGCCCCCUGGCAUUCCGGGGGGCAUGCCUGUCCGAGCGUCAUUGCUGCCCUUCAAGCCCGGCUUGUGUGUUGGGUCGUCGUCCCCCCCGGGGGACGGGCCCGAAAGCAGCGGCGGCACCGCGUCCGGUCCUCGAGCGUAUGGGGCUUUGUCACCCGCUCGAUUAGGGCCGGCCGGGCGCCAGCCGGCGUCUCCAACCUUCUAUUUUACCAGGUUGACCUCGGAUCAGGUAGGGAUACCCGCUGAACUUAAGCAUAUCAAUAAGCGGAGGA